Molecule: ribosomal RNA, 228 nt
Filed under: Giardia duodenalis
Lineage: Eukaryota; Fornicata; Diplomonadida; Hexamitidae
Description: Giardia intestinalis partial small subunit ribosomal RNA
Source: RNAcentral
GCGCCGACCGGGUGAUGCCCCGGAAGCCCGGGCGGGCCGUCGCUGCGUCACGCUGCUCGCCCGCGGGCGCCCGCCCUUGCGCGCACGUCUUGGCGCCGGGUUGCCAGCGGUGUCCGGCUAGCAGGGACCGCCGCGGGGGGUGCAACCGUUGUCCUGAGCCGUCCGCCGCGUCCCGGGUGAGCGGGCAUGCAUGGCUUCGUCCUUGGGGAGAGCGUCGCGCUCCGGCAG